GUUAUAGGGUCAAGCGAAUAAGUGCAUGUGGUGGAUGCCUUGGCGAUCACAGGCGAUGAAGGACGUAGUAGCUUGCGAAAAGCUGCGGGGAGCUGGCAAACGAGCUUUGAUCCGCAGAUGUCCGAAUGGGGAAACCCGGCCCGUAUGGGUCAUCCCUUGCUGAAUACAUAGGCAAGGGAGGCGAACGCAGUGAACUGAAACAUCUAAGUAGCUGCAGGAAAAGAAAUCAACCGAGAUUCCCAAAGUAGUGGCGAGCGAAAUGGGAACAGCCUUGUACUCUUUAGCAGUAUUGUUAGCGGAACGGAAUGGAAAGUCCGGCCAUAGUGGGUGAUAGCCCCGUACGCGAAAACAGUAUUGUGGAACUAGGUGUACGACAAGUAGGGCGGGACACGUGAAAUCCUGUCUGAAGAUGGGGGGACCAUCCUCCAAGGCUAAAUACUCGUGAUCGACCGAUAGUGAACCAGUACCGUGAGGGAAAGGCGAAAAGAACCCCGGGAGGGGAGUGAAAUAGAUCCUGAAACCGCAUGCAUACAAACAGUCGGAGCCUGGAAACGGGUGACGGCGUACCUUUUGUAUAAUGGGUCAGCGACUUACAUUCAGUGGCAAGCUUAACCGAUUAGGGAAGGCGUAGCGAAAGCGAGUCCGAAUAGGGCGUUCAGUCGCUGGGUGUAGACCCGAAACCAAGUGAUCUAUCCAUGGCCAGGUUGAAGGUGCGGUAACACGUACUGGAGGACCGAACCCACUAACGUUGAAAAGUUAGGGGAUGAGCUGUGGAUAGGGGUGAAAGGCUAAACAAACUUGGAAAUAGCUGGUUCUCUCCGAAAACUAUUUAGGUAGUGCCUCGUGUCUCACCUUCGGGGGUAGAGCACUGUCAUGGUUGGGGGGUCUAUUGCUGAUUACCCCGCCAUAGCAAACUCCGAAUACCGAAGAGUGCAAUCACGGGAGACAGACAUCGGGUGCUAACGUCCGGUGUCAAGAGGGAAACAACCCAGACCGCCAGCUAAGGUCCCUAAGAUUGGCUAAGUGGGAAACGAAGUGGGAAGGCUAAAACAGUCAGGAGGUUGGCUUAGAAGCAGCCACCCUUUAAAGAAAGCGUAAUAGCUCACUGAUCGAGUCGUCCUGCGCGGAAGAUGUAACGGGGCUAAGCCAGUCACCGAAGCUGCGGAUGCACGUAAGUGCAUGGUAGGAGAGCGUUCUGUAAGCCUGUGAAGGUGUCUUGUAAAGGAUGCUGGAGGUAUCAGAAGUGCGAAUGCUGACAUGAGUAGCGAUAAAGGGGGUGAAAGGCCCCCUCGCCGUAAGCCCAAGGUUUCCUACGCAACGUUCAUCGGCGUAGGGUGAGUCGGCCCCUAAGGCGAGGCAGAGAUGCGUAGCUGAUGGGAAGCAGGUUAAUAUUCCUGCACCGUCGUAUGAUGCGAUGGGGGGACGGAUCGCGGAAGGUUGUCCGGGUGUUGGAAGUCCCGGUCCCUACAUUGGAGAUGGCACUUAGGCAAAUCCGGGUGCGUGAUUCAAGGGUGUGGGGCGAGCGACGUUAGGUCGCGAAGCAAUUGGAAGUGGUUCCAAGAAAAGCCUCUAAGCUUCAGUCAUACGAGACCGUACCGCAAACCGACACAGGUGGGCGAGAUGAGUAUUCUAAGGCGCUUGAGAGAACUCGGGAGAAGGAACUCGGCAAAUUGGUACCGUAACUUCGGGAUAAGGUACGCCCUUGUAGUUUGACUGGCUCGCGCCAGAAGGAUGAAGGGGUUGCAAUAAAAUGGUGGCUGCGACUGUUUAAUAAAAACACAGCACUCUGCAAACACGAAAGUGGACGUAUAGGGUGUGACGCCUGCCCGGUGCCGGAAGAUUAAAUGAUGGGGUGCAAGCUCUUGAUUGAAGUCCCGGUAAACGGCGGCCGUAACUAUAACGGUCCUAAGGUAGCGAAAUUCCUUGUCGGGUAAGUUCCGACCUGCACGAAUGGCGUAACGAUGGCCACACUGUCUCCUCCCGAGACUCAGCGAAGUUGAAGUGUUUGUGAUGAUGCAAUCUCCCCGCGGCUAGACGGAAAGACCCCAUGAACCUUUACUGUAGCUUUGCAUUGGACUUUGAACCGAUCUGUGUAGGAUAGGUGGGAGGCUUUGAAACCGGGACGCUAGUUUCGGUGGAGCCGACCUUGAAAUACCACCCUGGUUUGUUUGAGGUUCUAACCUUGGCCCGUGAAUCCGGGUCGGGGACAGUGCAUGGUAGGCAGUUUGACUGGGGCGGUCUCCUCCCAAAGUGUAACGGAGGAGUUCGAAGGUACGCUUGGUACGGUCGGACAUCGUACCUAAAGUGCAAUGGCAAAAGCGUGCUUAACUGCGAGACCGACAAGUCGAGCAGGUGCGAAAGCAGGACAUAGUGAUCCGGUGGUUCUGUAUGGAAGGGCCAUCGCUCAACGGAUAAAAGGUACUCUGGGGAUAACAGGCUGAUACCGCCCAAGAGUUCAUAUCGACGGCGGUGUUUGGCACCUCGAUGUCGGCUCAUCUCAUCCUGGGGCUGUAGCCGGUCCCAAGGGUAUGGCUGUUCGCCAUUUAAAGAGGUACGUGAGCUGGGUUUAAAACGUCGUGAGACAGUUUGGUCCCUAUCUGCCGUGGGCGUUGGAAUCUUGACGGGGGCUGCUCCUAGUACGAGAGGACCGGAGUGGACGUACCGCUGGUGUACCUGUUGUCUCGCCAGAGGCAUCGCAGGGUAGCUAUGUACGGAAGAGAUAACCGCUGAAAGCAUCUAAGCGGGAAACUCGCCUGAAGAUGAGGAUUCCCUGGAGACUUGAUCUCCCUGAAGGGUCGUUCGAGACCAGGACGUUGAUAGGCUGGGUGUGGAAGCGCAGUAAUGCGUUCAGCUAACCAGUACUAAUUGCCCGUGCGGCUUGAUCCUAUAACC
This 2892-nucleotide ribosomal RNA is filed under the name Ralstonia solanacearum. RNAcentral's name for it is "bacterial LSU rRNA". It matches the Rfam family "Bacterial large subunit ribosomal RNA". The record is from RNAcentral. RNAcentral also lists the same sequence under 5 other names. Lineage: Bacteria; Pseudomonadati; Pseudomonadota; Betaproteobacteria; Burkholderiales; Burkholderiaceae.